Haplochromis burtoni (Burton's mouthbrooder) is the source of this 1141-nucleotide long non-coding RNA. RefSeq lists it as uncharacterized. The record is from RefSeq and is a predicted model, not a curated record. The transcript has 3 exons. NCBI's taxonomy places the organism in Eukaryota, Metazoa, Chordata, Actinopteri, Cichliformes, Cichlidae.
UAAAUCGGGCCGAUGAGCGAGGCGAGGCGCGGGGGGGAUGUGUUCGGGAAGCGGACUACUUUUUGUGUCGGUGCGGCGAAUUUAUUUCACUUUGCCUAAGGAACGGCGGUGCUGCGACUCCCAUUGCCUAGGGAAAAAACCCGGAUGUAAACUCAGUGAAACUCUAUGGAGAGAAAGUCUCACACACACACACACACCGUGAAACUCGGCGGCGGAGCGGAGCACUUUGUUGUGUUGUUGUGUUACCGACCAGCUCCGCGCAGCACGCCGCCCUUCAGCCUCCACGUUCGGCUGCUCGCUGCUGGACCCGCCGGACUGUUGCACUUUGUGGAGGAAAAGGAAGAGGAGGCCCCUUUUCUCCUGCUUCCAGAGAAACGAAUAAAUAACUCCGUGGAGGAAUGUGACCACAGAAUAAACUCACAGAAGCCAAACGGGAAACAAAUCUGAGUCUGUGUGAAUCUGCAGUUUCCACACAGAGAUUAACAACAGCUACAUCAUCUGUCCGGGUUCAUGAGGGACACUGACGGUAGGUGACUGUGAGGCAGACGAGGAUCUGAGAGGUCAGCAAUCCCAGAAAAGUGGUGGACAGCUGUACCCAUGACCGAAAGGAGGGACACAGACACGGGUGGAGACUGCAUAGGUGAGGAGGGAAGAAAGAGAGGAAACAGGAAGUGAAAAAAGGAAACAUGAGGGUGAUGAAUGAAGACGGGGCGACACAAAAAGUGAAACAAGCCUGGCCUCUGCACCGUCAGCCCCGAGUGACCCCAGGAGCCAGGUGUUGGAGACCCAUUUGAUCCUGGGGGCGGGACUUGUGGCCUCCACCACCCACAGGAAGUGGUCCAUCAACAAAACUGAGCUCUGUAAGUGGAUGCAUUGACUAAAAAACAGCCACUAGAGGGGGAUGUGACACAGUCAAACGCAUCAGACUGUUCCUGACUUCCUGCUCGUCUGCUGGGGUCCAAACACCGACCCGUGGACCAGAAAAGGCCCUCCAGCACAGUAUCAGUUUCUAUUUCCCUAGAAUAUGAAAGUCUUUUUUUCUCUCAUGUCUGAUGAGCAUUAUCUCAAGGUUUUCAUCCAUCCAUCCAUUCGCUUCCGCUUCUCCUUUUCAGGGUCGCGGGGGGCGCUGGAGCCUAUCCCA